GAUGAAGAACGUAGCGAAAUGCGAUAAGUAAUGUGAAUUGCAGAAUUCAGUGAAUCAUCGAAUCUUUGAACGCACCUUGCACCCUUUGGCAUUCCGAAGGGUAUGCUCGUUUGAGUGUCAUUGUACUCUCACACUUCCAAUCUUUGGAUUGGGAGCAGUGGACUUGGGUGUUGCUGCUUACUGUGUCUCACCUCAAAUCGAUUCGUGCACCUCUUGGUUGGACAUAGUACGGCGUGAUAAGUGUCUUCGCCGGCACCUCAGUAGAGGGUGGCUGAUCAGGAGCUCUGUGCUUCAAACCGUCCUCGGACAACAACUGACAACUUGACCUCAAAUCGAGUAGGACUACCCGCUGAACUUAAGCAUAUCAAUAAGCGGAGGA
RNAcentral lists this unclassified non-coding RNA (379 nucleotides) under soil metagenome. RNAcentral describes it as "partial contains 5.8S ribosomal RNA, internal transcribed spacer 2, and large subunit ribosomal RNA". The stretch from base 1 to 120 matches the Rfam family "5.8S ribosomal RNA", at positions 35 to 154 of the family's 154-position model. The record is from RNAcentral.